RNAcentral lists this unclassified non-coding RNA (309 nucleotides) under plant metagenome. Its description in RNAcentral is "partial contains 5.8S ribosomal RNA, internal transcribed spacer 2, and large subunit ribosomal RNA". The stretch from base 1 to 104 matches the Rfam family "5.8S ribosomal RNA", at positions 51 to 154 of the family's 154-position model. The record is from RNAcentral.
AAAUGCGAUAAGUAGUGUGAAUUGCAGAAUUCAGUGAAUCAUCGAAUCUUUGAACGCACAUUGUGCCCCUUGGUAUUCCAUGGGGCAUGCCUGUUCGAGCGUCAUUUGUACCCUCAAGCUCUGCUUGGUGUUGGGUGUUUGUCCCCGUCUCCGCGCGUGGACUCGCCCCAAAGUGAUUGGCAGCCGGCGUACUGGUCCCGGAGCGCAGCACAUGUCGCGCAAACGAGUGCCUUGGUACGGCGGCGUCCAUAAGCCCCUCUCUCACGCUCUUGACCUCGGAUCAGGUAGGGAUACCCGCUGAACUUAAGC